RNAcentral lists this transfer RNA (72 nucleotides) under Danionella translucida. It matches the Rfam family "tRNA". From Rfam's summary of the family: Transfer RNA (tRNA) molecules are approximately 80 nucleotides in length. Their secondary structure includes four short double-helical elements and three loops (D, anti-codon, and T loops). Further hydrogen bonds mediate the characteristic L-shaped molecular structure. tRNAs have two regions of fundamental functional importance: the anti-codon, which is responsible for specific mRNA codon recognition, and the 3' end, to which the tRNAs corresponding amino acid is attached (by aminoacyl-tRNA synthetases). tRNAs cope with the degeneracy of the genetic code in two manners: having more than one tRNA (with a specific anti-codon) for a particular amino acid; and 'wobble' base-pairing, i.e. permitting non-standard base-pairing at the 3rd anti-codon position. The record is from Rfam by way of RNAcentral. RNAcentral also lists the same sequence under 1 other name. Lineage: Eukaryota; Metazoa; Chordata; Actinopteri; Cypriniformes; Danionidae.
GGGGGUAUAGCUCAGUGGUAGAGCAUCUGACUGCAGAUCAAGAGGUUCCCAGUUCAAAUCUGGGUGACCCCU